AUUGCCCUAGUAACGGCGAGUGAAGCGGCAACAGCUCAAAUUUGAAAUCUGGCGCUUUCAGCGUCCGAGUUGUAAUUUGCAGAGGGCGCUUUGGCGUUGGCAGCGGUCCAAGUUCCUUGGAACAGGUCGUCACAGAGGGUGAGAAUCCCGUACGUGGCCGCAUGUCUUCGCCGUGUAAAGCCCCUUCGACGAGUCGAGUUGUUUGGGAAUGCAGCUCUAAAUGGGAGGUAAAUUUCUUCUAAAGCUAAAUACUGGCCAGAGACCGAUAGCGCACAAGUAGAGUGAUCGAAAGAUGAAAAGCACUUUGGAAAGAGAGUCAAACAGCACGUGAAAUUGUUGAAAGGGAAGCGCUUGCAGCCAGACUUGCCUGCCGUUGCUCAUCCGGGCUUUUGCCCGGUGCAUUCUUCGGUAGGCAGGCCAGCAUCAGUUUGGGCGGUGGGAUAAAGGUCUCUGUCACGUACCUCCUUUCGGGGAGGCCUUAUAGGGGAGACGUCAUGCCACCAGCCUGGACUGAGGUCCGCGCAUCUGCUAGGAUGCUGGCGUAAUGGCUGUAAGCGGCCCGUCUUGAAACACGGACCAAGGAGUCUAACAUCUAUGCGAGUGUUUGGGUGUCAAGCCCAAGCGCGUAAUGAAAGUGAACGGAGGUGGGACCCCGCAAGGGUGCACCAUCGACCGAUCCUGAUGUCUUCGGAUGGAUUUGAGUAAGAGCAUGGCUGUUGGGACCCGAAAGAUGGUGAACUAUGCUUGAAUAGGGUGAAGCC
RNAcentral lists this ribosomal RNA (761 nucleotides) under uncultured Archaeorhizomycetes. Its description in RNAcentral is "eukaryotic LSU rRNA". It matches the Rfam family "Eukaryotic large subunit ribosomal RNA", at positions 74 to 853 of the family's 3401-position model. The record is from RNAcentral. Lineage: Eukaryota; Fungi; Ascomycota; Archaeorhizomycetes.